Molecule: ribosomal RNA, 428 nt
Filed under: uncultured bacterium
Lineage: Bacteria
Description: bacterial SSU rRNA
Rfam family: Bacterial small subunit ribosomal RNA
Source: RNAcentral
CUAAGAAUAUUCCGCAAUGGACGAAAGUCUGACGGAGCGACGCCGCGUGGAUGAAGAAGGCCGAAAGGUUGUAAAAUCCUUUUGUCGAUGAAGAAUAAGCAUGGGAGGGAAUGCCCGUGUGAUGACGUUAGUCGGCGAAUAAGCCCCGGCUAAUUACGUGCCAGCAGCCGCGGUAACACGUAAGGGGCGAGCGUUGUUCGGAAUUAUUGGGCGUAAAGGGCGCGUAGGCGGUCCUGUAAGCCCGGCGUGAAAACCUGGAGCUCAACUCCGGGCCUGCGCUGGGAACGGCGGGACUAGAGUCAUGGAAGGGAAGUUGGAAUUCCAGGUGUAGGGGUGAAAUCUGUAGAUAUCUGGAAGAACACCGGUGGCGGAGGCGAACUUCUGGCCAAUGACUGACGCUGAGGCGCGAAAGUGCGGGGAGCAAACAG